GAUGAACGCUGGCGGCGUGCCUAAUACAUGCAAGUCGAGCGAACUGAUUAGAAGCUUGCUUCUAUGACGUUAGCGGCGGACGGGUGAGUAACACGUGGGCAACCUGCCUGUAAGACUGGGAUAACUUCGGGAAACCGAAGCUAAUACCGGGUAGGAUCUUCUCCUUCAUGGGAGAUGAUUGAAAGAUGGUUUCGGCUAUCACUUACAGAUGGGCCCGCGGUGCAUUAGCUAGUUGGUGGGGUAAAGGCUCACCAAGGCAACGAUGCAUAGCCGACCUGAGAGGGUGAUCGGCCACACUGGGACUGAGACACGGCCCAGACUCCUACGGGAGGCAGCAGUAGGGAAUCUUCCGCAAUGGACGAAAGUCUGACGGAGCAACGCCGCGUGAGUGAUGAAGGCUUUCGGGUCGUAAAACUCUGUUGUUAGGGAAGAACAAGUACGAGAGUAACUGCUCGUACCUUGACGGUACCUAACCAGAAAGCCACGGCUAACUACGUGCCAGCAGCCGCAGUAA
Molecule: ribosomal RNA, 514 nt
Filed under: uncultured bacterium
Lineage: Bacteria
Description: partial 16S ribosomal RNA
Rfam family: Bacterial small subunit ribosomal RNA
Source: RNAcentral